UAGGGAAUCUUCCGCAAUGGGCGAAAGNUGACGGAGCAACGCGCGUGAGUGAUGAAGGUCUUCGGAUCGUAAAACUCUGUUAUUAGGGAAGAACAUAUGUGUAAGUAACUGUGCACAUCUUGACGGUACCUAAUCAGAAAGCCACGGCUAACUACGUGCCAGCAGCCGCGGUAAUACGUAGGUGGCAAGCGUUAUCCGGAAUUAUUGGGCGUAAAGGGCGCGUAGGGGNUUUUUUAAGUCUGAUGUGAAAGCCCACGGCUCACCCGUGGAGGGUCAUUGGAAACUGGAAAACUUGAGUGCNGAAAAGGAAAGUGGAAUUCCAGGUGUAGCGGUGAAAUGCNCGAGGANAGGGAGGAACACCAGUGGCCGAAGGCAAUUUUCUGUUCUGUAACCUAACGCUGGAUUGUGCCGAAAGCGGGGGAUUCAAACAGGAUUAGAUACCCUGUGAAGUCCAACGCCCGUAAACGAAUGGGGUGCUAGGGGUUAGGGGGGUUUCCGNCCCCUUUAGNGGCUGGCGGCUUAACGGCAUUNAAGCACUCCCNCCCUGGGGANUACGNACCNGCAAGUUUGNAANCUUC
This 578-nucleotide ribosomal RNA is filed under the name uncultured bacterium. Its description in RNAcentral is "partial 16S rRNA". It matches the Rfam family "Bacterial small subunit ribosomal RNA", at positions 355 to 903 of the family's 1533-position model. The record is from RNAcentral.